UACGGAGGGAGCUAGCGUUGUUCGGAAUUACUGGGCGUAAAGCGCACGCAGGCGGCUUUGUAAGUUAGAGGUGAAAGCCCGGGGCUCAACCCCGGAAUUGCCUUUAAGACUGCAUCGCUUGAAUCCGGGAGAGGUGAGUGGAAUUCCGAGUGUAGAGGUGAAAUUCGUAGAUAUUCGGAAGAACACCAGUGGCGAAGGCGGCUCACUGGACCGGUAUUGACGCUGAGGUGCGAAAGCGUGGGGAGCAAACAGG
This 253-nucleotide ribosomal RNA is filed under the name uncultured bacterium. Its description in RNAcentral is "partial 16S ribosomal RNA". It matches the Rfam family "Bacterial small subunit ribosomal RNA", at positions 524 to 776 of the family's 1533-position model. The record is from RNAcentral.